RNAcentral lists this ribosomal RNA (526 nucleotides) under uncultured bacterium. Its description in RNAcentral is "partial 16S ribosomal RNA". It matches the Rfam family "Bacterial small subunit ribosomal RNA", at positions 355 to 897 of the family's 1533-position model. The record is from RNAcentral.
UGGGGAAUAUUGCACAAUGGGCGAAAGCCUGAUGCAGCAACGCCGCGUGAGUGAUGAAGGUCUUCGGAUUGUAAAGCUCUGUCUUUUGGGACGAUAAUGACGGUACCAAAGGAGGAAGCCACGGCUAACUACGUGCCAGCAGCCGCGGUAAUACGUAGGUGGCGAGCGUUGUCCGGAUUUACUGGGCGUAAAGGGUGCGUAGGCGGAUGUUUAAGUGAGAUGUGAAAUACCCGGGCUUAACUUGGGUGCUGCAUUUCAAACUGGAUAUCUAGAGUGCAGGAGAGGAGAAUGGAAUUCCUAGUGUAGCGGUGAAAUGCGUAGAGAUUAGGAAGAACACCAGUGGCGAAGGCGAUUCUCUGGACUGUAACUGACGCUGAGGCACGAAAGCGUGGGUAGCAAACAGGAUUAGAUACCCUGGUAGUCCACGCCGUAAACGAUGAGUACUAGGUGUAGGAGGUAUCGACCCCUUCUGUGCCGCAGUAAACACAUUAAGUACUCCGCCUGGGAAGUACGAUCGCAAGAUUAA